Molecule: ribosomal RNA, 305 nt
Filed under: uncultured bacterium
Lineage: Bacteria
Description: bacterial SSU rRNA
Rfam family: Bacterial small subunit ribosomal RNA
Source: RNAcentral
GUUCCUACGGGGCGCAGCAGUGAGGAAUAUUGGUCAAUGGGCGAGAGCCUGAACCAGCCAAGUCGCGUGAAGGAUGACGGCCCUAUGGGUUGUAAACUUCUUUUGUCAGGGAGCAAUUGGGUCCACGUGUGGGCUUAGCGAGAGUACCUGAAGAAAAAGCAUCGGCUAACUCCGUGCCAGCAGCCGCGGUAAUACGGAGGAUGCGAGCGUUAUCCGGUUUUAUUGGGUUUAAAGGGUGCGGAGGCGGAAUAUCAAGUCAGCGGUAAAAAUUCGGGGCUCAACCCCGCCGUGCCGUUGAAACUGAU